AACUCAUCUAAAAAAAAAAUGUCAAUAUGUAGCAUAUUCCCAAAAAAAGUUUUUGUUUUUUUUUAAAACGUCAGGAACCGAAGACAACCCAAAUGCCCAGAAACCAGCAGGGGGGCGUCGUGGAUCCCCUACGGCGCACUGACAAAGACGGAGCGGCAGACUUCUGCUGACUGUCAUUUCUCAGCCUGUGGAGAGGAGCGGUGUCAUGUCAACCUAAGAAGAGCAGGCCACCUCAUCGGAUCAUCCCACACUCUUAAAGGUCCUGGCCUCAGCAACCUUCACUCCUUCCCUCUUGUGUGUGUCACUUCACUUCUCGCUGAUUAAUCUUCCAGUCCUGCGCGCAUUACGGCUGACUAACGGAUGAUGGGUGUCAAAACAAGUCAGCCAACUGUUAUCCAUCUAUUUUGCUCAUUUUGUUUGGGAGAUCAUCGUGGAGUUCGCAUGGGAUCUCCCGCUCCAAGAUUAAUGAGGAACCCUGCAGGAACGGAAAUGUUUUUGAGCUUCAAGGGGACAUGUCAGAGAAAAUGGAGAUUGGCUGAUAUUGCUUCUCAUGACUGAUACUGAUACAGAUUCUUUUUUUGGGGGUUUUCAUUUUUUCAUUUUAAUUUAAUUUUCAUAUAAUAUAAUACGAAAUAAAAUAAAAUAUUUAACUGAUAAAUAAAUAUGCCCAACUUUUGCAUUUUUAAAAAAAUGUUGAUCAUUUAAAAUGACUAUAAAAUGCAACCUGGGUUUCAAAAUAAUUCUACAAUAAUAGUAUACGGGUGAUGAACGAAAUAUUAUUGUUAACAUUAUUAUUCUUCAGUCUACUUUUUAGCAGGUAAAAGGCAUGCUCCACAGGGUUUAAGUCUGGAGAUUGGUCGGUCUAAAACCUUCUGCUUCUUGCGAACUCUUUUGUUGUUUUGACUGUGUUUUGGGUCAUUAUCUUGCUGCAUGAUGAAGGGUCUCCCAAUAAGUUUGGUUGCAUCUUUCUUUAAAUUGGCUUACAAAAUGCUUCUGUAGACCUCUGAGUUCAUUUUGCUGCAAUCAAAGGUUAAUGAGCCCGUCCUAGAAGAAGCCACGACAUUACCUCCACUGUGUUUCACAGAUGAACUUGCACGAUUGGGAUCACGAGCAGAUCCUUUCUUUCCCCAAACCUCAGCUUUUCUGUCACUUUGGUAAAGGUUAAUCUUUGUCUCAUCGUUCCAUAAAACUUGGUCUCAUAGUCUUUGAGGCUCAUCUCUGUACUUUUUAGCAAAUUCCAGCCUGGCCUUUCUAUUCUUUUUGCCAGUGAGCGGUUUGCAUCUUCUGGUGUAACCUCUUUACUUGUGAAGUUUUCUGCGAUCAGUAGACCCCUGCCCUGGAGAUUGUUGCUGAUAACUUACAGUUGUUUUAAAGUCUUUCCUGACAGCUCUUACAAUGCUUCUGUCAUCAACCGCAGUUUUUUUCCUUGGUCUACCUGCUCGAUGUCUGUUACUUAGUACACCAGCGGCUUCUUUUUUCUUCAAGACAUUCCGAAUGGUUGAAAUGGCUAUGGCUAAUGUGUGUGCAAUGGCUCUGAUUCAUUCUCUCUCAGCUUCACAGUUGCUUGUUUUUCACUCAUAGACAGCUCUCUGGUCUUCAUGUCGGUUACACGUCUUAACUACAAAUGCAGCUUGAACAGGCAAAACCCAAACGUGAGACUGAGCUUGAACAUUCAGUGCUAAUUAUUGUUUGAAUAAUCAUUGUGAUUGGACACACCUGGGCAACGAAGUACACCUGUCAGUCACAUGCUCCAAUACUUUUGCUCGCAUGAAAAAUCGGUGUGUUCAAACAAAGCAUGCUAUCUUCUAAAUUGUGUGUCAGAUCUUUUUUUGGCCUCACUGUCCCAAUACUUUUGGGGGGAGCGAGUGUGUAUGUGUACACACACACACACACACACACACACACAAUACAGCACGGCUAUGAUCGCUUCACCCAACAGUUCUGUCUAUCACUGAGCAGCACUCUUGGCAACCACCGUUAGCAACAUAAACAAUCAAUGAUACAGCAUAAAACUGUUCUGUGUAUUAUGCAUUUCGGCAAAAUUAAAUGCGUUAUUUAUUUAAUGAAGUAGGAGUGACCUCUGCUGGCCUUAUGUUACAUAUUUGAUCUUUAAUUUUGAGACCACGCCCUUCCCAGUCUAAUAAACGUUUCUCAUGCGGAGAUGAUCCAGCAGUUUUUUCAGCGUGAUGAAGAAUAUUACUGUAUUUACUAGUUUUCUGUUUCGAGUAUGAUCAAUUAUCCAUCAGUUUACACUGAAAUGAGACUCAGAGUUUUUAAACUGAAAGACGGAAAACAGAUGUUUUCACAUGAAGAGAUGAGUGAGAGAAAAUAUUAUAUAUGGUGUUAAAAAAUAAAUUAUGCAGUGGAUGAUAAGCUAUUUUCUGUCAGUGGACUAUUUUUUUGUUUUAGCGGAAAGACUGCAUUUAACAAAUUUUUGUACUAUUACUGUAUAUAUAUAUAUAUAUAUAUAUAUAUAUAUAUAUAUAUAUAUAUAUAUAUAUAUAUAU
Long non-coding RNA from Puntigrus tetrazona (Sumatra barb), 2507 nucleotides. RefSeq lists it as uncharacterized. The transcript is spliced from 2 exons. The record is from RefSeq and is a predicted model, not a curated record. Lineage: Eukaryota; Metazoa; Chordata; Actinopteri; Cypriniformes; Cyprinidae.